RNAcentral lists this ribosomal RNA (253 nucleotides) under uncultured bacterium. RNAcentral describes it as "partial 16S ribosomal RNA". It matches the Rfam family "Bacterial small subunit ribosomal RNA", at positions 524 to 776 of the family's 1533-position model. The record is from RNAcentral.
UACGUAGGGUCCGAGCGUUGUCCGGAAUUAUUGGGCGUAAAGGGCUCGUAGGCGGUUUGUCGCGUCGGGAGUGAAAACACCGGGCUUAACUCGGUGCUUGCUUUCGAUACGGGCAGACUGGAGGCAUGCAGGGGAGAACGGAAUUCCUGGUGUAGCGGUGAAAUGCGCAGAUAUCAGGAGGAACACCGGUGGCGAAGGCGGUUCUCUGGGCAUGUCCUGACGCUGAGGAGCGAAAGUGUGGGGAGCGAACAGG